GCAUAGUUUUGCUCUUCCCUAUUUCCCCACAUCCAUUUUCCUAUCCACCCAACUCGCAUUUCCACACACAAGGUGUUGAAUCAAAGUGUGGAAUCUGCUUCAUCAGAGAUGGAGUUAGGCAAAGAGAGGAGAAGGAAGCAUUAGGAAAUGGUGCAAUUUGACUGCUGCUAUUAGAAUCUGGGAACAAUAGAGUCUCUAAGAAAGAGUUUAAAUUUAUUUAUUCCAUAAAAUAUUAAUGGAAUAACAAUAUUACUGUUCAAAACACAAGGAACAUAUAAGAAAUUCUUGAUUUGUUCAAAGAAGAGCAAGAGGGCCUACUAUGGCUAGAGUAGAAUAAGCAAAGGAAAUAAUGUUGGCGAUUAGGCUACAGAAGUAAAAAGAUCAUAAGGAAGAAACUCAUAGGACACUGGGAUUUUUCCUGAGUUAAAAGAUACUGGAAGUUUGGAACAGAGAAGUAACAUGACAUGAUAUAUAUUUUUAAAAGAUAAUACUGGCUUCAAAGUGGAGAACAGACUUAAAGGCAAACAAUGGAUGCUGGAAGACAACUGGGAGGCUAUUUCAAGAAAUCAGAUGGGGACUGGGGUUGUGGCUUAGUGGUAGAGCCCUCACCUAGCAUGUGUGCAGCCCUGGUUUUGAUCCUCAGCACCACAUAAAUAAAUAAAAUAAAACUGUUGUAUCAAACUACAACUAAAAACUAAAUAUAUAAUAAUAAAAAAGAAAGAAAUCAGGUGGUUUGACCCAAAUGAUAGAGGAGGUAAAGAUAUAAUUACAUAGACUCUGGAUAUACUAUAAAGGAUUUGAUGAUGAACCAAUUAUUUGGUAGGAGAAUGAGGAAGAAGUCAAACUGAUUCUAAAGUUUUGGGCCUUGGAAACUUGUAGAAAGAUAUUGUCAUUUAUGGAAAUAAGAAAAAAAAUGUGAGAGGAUAAGGUUUGAUUUAAAAAUUAAAUGUACAAAAACAGGGGUUUGGUUUUGUACAUAGUAAGAUUAAGCUUUCUAUUUGACAGAAGUAACAAUUUGAUAUACAAAGUUGAAGUAAAGCCUGGUCAGCAUAUGUACAGUAUUUUAAAGAUAUGAAAAAGUAAAUGUGUGGAUGGAGAAGAGAUCUCAGGUCAAAGACUGAAAAAGAACAGUUGAUACUGCAUUUAAAAUAUUUGUAUUUAGGAAAAAAAUAUAAUCAAAGAAUCAAACAUCACCUUUAAAUAACUACAUUAGUGUAAGCCAGGAAUAGUGGUUCAUGCCUGUAAUCUCUGCUACUUGGGAGGCUAAGACAAGAGGAUUAAACAUUCUGGACAACUUAGCAAAGACUCUAUCUCAAAGUAAAAUAAAAAGAGCUGGAGACAUAGUUUAGCAGUAUAGUGCCCUGAGUUUAAUACCCACUACCACCAAAAAAAAUAAUAAUCUUUAAAAUAAAAACAUAUCAAUAUACAAAAUAUAUAAUUAAAAUGGUUUAAUUAAAAGUUAAAUAAUUAUCAAAAAUAUUUCCAAAUACAGAGAUCAUUUUCUAAAUAAUGCUUAAAGUCACAGAGAGUUACCUGAGGUUGAAGCUUGCAAUCAGUAACUGUUAAAGACAUUAAUGAUCAUACAAUUAGUUGUAUUUCUUUUUGUGAAGAUAUUUUCAUAUUACAAAAUGUAUUUACUUCAUCUGAAGUGUAACAAUAUGAUUAUCUCCUGAGAUACCAAAUUAAGAUUUUGCUUCUUUGGCAGUCAAAAUACAGUAUAAAUAUCUACAAAUGUGAAAUUAAAUAUUUUACUCCUUUUGACAUCUCCUAAGAGGAUACAUGCACAUUCAGCUGUCAGAUAAAGCUCUACAAUCCACUGCAUUCAUAUUGCAUGAUUACUGUCAUUGACAUACCUGGAAUGAGAAAGUAAGAAUUAAUAUUGGUCUACCAAAAGCACAGCAUUAAUCUUCCCUGUUUUAAGAAAAGAAUUACCUUUGAUGAAAAGAGUCACAUAUGUGGAGAGGGAGAAAACAAAUGAACCCUGUAGUAUACAGUAUUUAAUUGGAAUUGAAUAUAGGUGUAAACUCUGAUUUUCAAUGAAUAUAGAGAAAUAAAUAUGAAUACAUUUUAUAUGUAUUUAACAAGAUUUGUCCACUAAGAAAUCAUGGUAGCAAUGAUAUCCCAAUAGCAAUGAAUAUACUUAUUCCCUAAAUAUUGUAUUCUAACUAUUAUUCUCCAGCAAAUAGAAUUAAGGCUUCAUAGAGAAACAGUUGAUAGUAGGACUGGUGCAGGAAAAAAUAUAAGAUGACCCUUAUAUGUG
Molecule: long non-coding RNA, 2260 nt
Filed under: Marmota monax (woodchuck)
Lineage: Eukaryota; Metazoa; Chordata; Mammalia; Rodentia; Sciuridae
Source: RNAcentral